CAAAAAAAAAAGAAGAAAAUUUUUUUCCACGGUAGUAUAAUAUUUGGUUGUUAGUCGCGUAUAUGUGCACGCGGGCGUAUCGCGUAAAAUACAUAUUAAGAAGCAAAAACGUCGGCAAAGUAUUUUCGCUACAAAAUAAUUCCACGAAAGUAGCGUGCAAAGGACGAUCUUAAUAUUUAAUCCAACCGUGCGUUCUUCGGAGCUCGACUUUUUCUCAACGAGUACAACGAUAAAAGGGCCCUUUGAAGAAGGCGGAAAAGCGUUUAAUUAUCCGCCUGCUCCUAACAUUUCCAUGUAAUGCGAAUCUUCGAGGCAUAAAAAGGAUUUACGUUUAUCGAAGAUUCGCCCGUUUCUACCCAGCUAUACGAGAUACUCGAGAAAUCACGAGGGAACAUUACAUAGCCUUUUUUCUUCUUUUUUAUUUUAACUCACAAUUUCAUUCUGCAGCGUCGUUGGCGUGGUCGACAUACAAAAAUAACGAUUUAAAAGAAAUAAAAAUUGUCGUCGUUUCAUCGACAAAUAGGAAUGUAUUUUUCCUUCGUACAGAGGACGGAGACACAAAUCGUUUUAGUAUAUUCUAUGUAUAUUGUAUGAUUAGCGAAACAAGACUCUUUCUUACUCUCUUACGUGGCAGCUAUGUAUGCAUGAGAAAAGAAGCGACUUGCGGUUCGUUCAUGAAUAAUGCGUUAAAUGAACGUUUAUAUUUGCGAAUGAAGGAAGCAACACCAACCACCGUGUGUCUCUUAUUCCAAAAUCCUCGCUAAACGUCACGCGCUUCUGACUUUUCCGCCGAGAAUGAGUUUAAAUCUAAAUAAAAUUUUCCCUUCCUUUUUCUGCAUUUUUAUUCUACGUGCAAUCAAUAAUUGCUCGAAAGACCAUUCUUUCUCUGUUUGUACAAAUAUUUCUAUUGUCUUCAGUAUUAUCUUUCCUCUGGGAGAAGAGAAAGUACGUACGAGAGUAAUGAAAAUUUUGUUUCCUCCUGAUAUUAAGUUUACGAACAUCUUUCCAGUCUUUCUCACUUUUAAUUCGGCCAAACUUUGUCUCUCUCUAUCUCUCUCCUUUUCGGUUUCUCUAUUCAUUUUCCUCUUUUUUCAUUGUUAUACCAGCAAAACGGCGCACGUGGCAAGGGACGAAAUAAAGAAGCAAAACCCGACGGAAGGAUACAGGGUGAAGAGGCAAAAGGUGGUGGAAACAUUGCGCGCUCUUAGAUCUCGGCUUGUGCAACUUUAAAGUAGUUCGUGUCUAGCCUGGGUAUAUAAAGGGUCUAUAUGCUGUGUAUGCGAGUGCUAUAAACGUUUCUGCUUAUACCGGCUAUGCUCGUUUAUUUAUGAGUUAUCCGAGCAACCACUAGUGUGAUAUCAAGUCCGAUUUCUUGCUUUCCUACCGUCGCGUUAGACCUACAUACAUACGUGUGGAUUUCGUAAUGCCUGUCUUUUCCAAUAUACAACUAUACGUAUGCGUUUAUCUAUGCCCGUGUACGAGUACACGCGUGUAUAAGUAUAUACAUGUGUGUGUGCGUGUGCUCGUAUAAAUACACACAUACAUACAUACAUACAUACACACAUACAUACACACACACACAUAUAUAUAUAUAUAUAUAUAUGUAUAUAUAUAUGUAUAUAUCGUAAGGACGAUUUAUCGUAUCGAUCGUUGCGCAAUUCUACCGUCAGUAUCCUCCUCUUUCACCUCCCCUUAACCCUCUUGUUUCCUUAUCUCGGUUAAAGGAAACCAUCCACUUCCUUUCUCGAUCGACUUAUCCCCGAUAGAAUCGCGUCGAUGUUCUCUAUUUACGAAGGAAAUUUACCUGAUAUCGCAACUAUCAAAGCAAAUAACAGAAUCACGGAAUUAACGAUUGCAUUCGUGUUCGUUCGUUUCAUUAUAGUUUUCCAUUGUUUUCCGAUCAGCUAUCGAAAAUAGUCGUAUAGAUAGGUUUUUCGACGACGACGGCCGCAGCGCAUAGAUUAUUCUUCUUAUCGCUUCCGAUUCUUGUUACGUUCGUUGUUCGUUCAACGCGAAUGUAAUAAAGGCCGAUGGAUAACAAUGGAUCGAACGAAACCGUACUCGAAAACAAUAGACAAAAUUACAAUCGUUGCGGAUAGCUUUGUUAUACGAGAGUAAGAGAGAGAGAGAGAGAGAGAAAGCGUUCCCUUCCUGUAAAACUUAAGCUUGCGCCAGUACUUUUAUACAAUAUGUAUUUAAGAAAUUCGCACGAACGAAUCCUCUAAAGAAUCUUUGCUUUUCUUUGAAUUUCUCAAAAUAGGAGAGUGGUGUUAACCCCUUGAUCGAUACAAAGGUACCGUCGUCUACACGUACAUUUUCAAUUUUGUACCGCCCUCAUAUUUUCGUUAAUAUAAGCCUUCUCUUGUUAUUUUAACGAUAGAUUAAUUUGCUCGUUGAACAUGAAGAUAUCUUUGUUGGUUCUACGACGUUUUGUAAAUUAGUUUAGUAGCACUGCGGUAACUUACUACUCAAAGAGUUAAGGAGCUAGCGGUCCGGUACCGACAACUCUGGCAUCUUCGUCCACGUAAACGGUAACGCGGUCUAACUACUCUAACCUUCUCUUAAGCCUUGAUAUUCUCCGUAGAGAGAGUACUCCUUGCGGAAUAUCAGAACUACUAUAUGUUACGUCGCGCCGUGCGUACGAAUAUACACAAGAAUUAUUUCCGUGUUCGCUCGAAAGGUCUCUACUACGGUAAAACGUUAAGUACACCUUCCACCCCUUCCUUUUUAUUCCACCGACUUUGGCGUCAACCAGAACGGUACGUGUACAUGUAUAGCUUUAUGAAAAGCACCGUCCAACGUUCGGUCGACUCAUUAGAAAUCUCAUAUAUUCGGAUAAGAGCUUUCCUGCGCCUUUAGAAAAGAGAUCUCAAAGCUUUGACCGUUCGUACGUGUCCGCUGGAAACCUGCUGCCGUCUCAACGAACGGCACCAUUCGCAUGGGAGUCGACUAUAAAUCGCCAAUAAAAUGUAUUUCUCAGCGACUUCAAUUUUUCUUUAUUCCUUUAUUUUGCAUCUGUCGUCAUUGUUUUUCUCUUUCUUUUCAUACAAAUUGUAAUAAAAUCUCAUACGUUUUAGCAAAUUAUGACCGAUUUUUCGUUGAUCUAAUAAAAUUCCUCAGGAUGCGAGCAUGACAUUACGUACGUGGAUAUAUUAAAGUUUUUAUCUUUCGACAUAGGGAAUGCUCUUCAUACCAAUAUGGUUAUGUAUAUUUGAACGAUAUACAUGCAUGCGUACAUAGAACGGACAUUGAAAUUGCGCCGCUUGUAUUUUACGUUAAACGACACGUCGAUUUCCAAUUUUGCGCGUUGGCGAUUCAAUUUCAAUGCUUCGAACGAUAAAGAGAACAAGAGACAGUCAUGGAUUGUACACGUUCUCUCGUUUAUAAAAUAAUGUCGCUCGAUUUGCAUCGAGGUUCAUUAAUGAGUUUUAUAUUAAUCAUUUCUACUUUAUUUUUCAAACAUUCGGCAUAUGGGCGCCGAGAGCACUGCGAAGUGCAUAGAGCAAUUCGUUAAUUUCUAUCGCGAUAUACGAUUUGCAGGAAAAUCGGAAGCAUGUGAGAGUGACGUUGCCACGCGAGAGAGAGAGAGAGAGAGAGAGAGAGAGAGAGAGAGACCUAGGUGGAGGGACCCGAAAGGGGAAACAGUUAUCGUUCCCUCAGGCUCGAUAGAAACAAACUUAUCGAAGAAUAAAUUAGAAAUAUGAAAUUUCGAAUGAAAAUUUUGGCGUGUUGAUUCGAUUAAAUCUCAUGUCGCUAGUACGGUGCUAAUUAUCAUCUAGGUGCCAAAUGAAGUCAUGUUGCUCUUUCAUCUCUAUACGACCCCCCCCCCCUCUCUCUCUCUCUGCCUCUCGCCGCAUGGGUAUAAUAACUAUCGCAUUAAUACCAAUAGAGGUUUUUAAAAAAGAGAAAUCGCGUUAGGGUAAACGCAUCGCGUAAAUCGCGAGUCUAACGAUAAUACGUCACGAUUACGAUGUAGUGCGAUAAAUUCGACGAUGGGACGAUUUAUUAUCGGGAGUGCCAGAAAAAUCGUAUCAUCCGUUAUAUUUCGACCUUCGACCGAUUUCCUUCUUUCGAGCAACUUCCUUUCGCUCGAACGAGCUUACGAUAUCAAACUACGAUAAUUUGAUACCAGAUUAGCAUACUCCCUUAAGGAACAACAGGAUAUUCGUUCUCAACGUUAAAUGUGAUAUAGACAUAUCGUGCAUUUAUGUACAUUACGCGUUUUGCCUCGUUCUUCCUUGAUGAACAAUUUAAUCGAUUCCCGACGAAUAACGUAGACACGAACGAAAUUGAAUUUUAUCGGCGUUAACCCGAAUUUCGAAAUUUCAAAGGAAGUGCGUAAAAGAUGCUGCGAGCGCGAGAGGCUUCAUCGUGGCCUUCUACAAUUCCCCAAAUACAGGUACAAAGAUGAAGCAAGCAGAGAAGAUGUAAAAGCUAUGACUUCAAAGAGAAUCCACGGUAUCUACGUCAAAGAAAGUACGGGACGUACAAGUGUACGACGGAUGUGCGGAACCUGUCAAGGGGAAACCUUCAAGAAUCUCCUAACUUUUCUCUAAGAAAAUGAAAGAACGUCGUUGACGUAUAUCUAAAUGUAAAAGAAAAUUUUUUACUUGUUACUUUGUACUCGCUAACGAGAUAAUUAGUAAUGCUGCUUGCUAGUGGAAAAAUUCGUCGGUCCUUAUCAAGACAGAGAAAAGAGCGCAUGACUCUCGUGCGAAAGAAAUGAAAAAAAGAAAAAAGAAAAGAACAAAACAAAACGAAUGCUAAACAGUAGGUACGUAUAUCGAAAAAUUGUUGAAAAUUGAAAGUAAUGGACUAGCCGCUGAAAAUGAGAAUCCGUUCGUAGGUAAUUGCUACAAACGUAUAUACUUAUGUAUGUAUAUUCAUGUGUGUGUGUGUGUGCGACACCCAAUACGCGAAUUACGCGUCACGAUCAAAGCACAUAUAGCAAAAUUCAAAUGUGCCGCGCUACGACGAAGCUCGCUAUCGUCGAUGGCGUCGCUAUCGUUCUUCAAUAUGGCGCUAGUUCAGGAUGACACGCAACGGUUGACAAGGAGCACGGGACCUCUACGGACGAGAUCUUUCCCUUUCUUUGCACCUUCCAAAGUUUCAAACUUUGCUCUAGGAGUGCGUGAACGAUUCGUAGAUUAGGCAAGAAAAGGGUAGCUAAAAGAUUCCAGAGUUUGCUAGUGUGCGUGUGUGUGGCGAGUAAGUGAGUCGAUCGACAAAGCGUUCUUGGUAAGAUACAUUGUUUAAAACCUCAGAGAAAGUGGAACAAAGAAUAGGACAAAGAGUAAAAAGGAUUGCCGCUAAUUGUACCGGGCGUACGUACGUGAGAAAAGGAACAACGGAGAGGAAAGCCUUGAAGAAAAAACCGAGAAUUGGUAUCAAAGGAGUUUGAUUCCUUAAUCGUAAGAAGAAAUACCACACGGCUCCUCUUCUUUUUCCCUCGAAGAGAAGAUAAAAAUCAAGUUUCGUCGGUCGACGGUAAAACCAG
Molecule: long non-coding RNA, 5497 nt
Organism: Vespa crabro (European hornet)
Lineage: Eukaryota; Metazoa; Arthropoda; Insecta; Hymenoptera; Vespidae
Exons: 3
Source: RefSeq, a predicted model, not a curated record